This 29-nucleotide non-coding RNA is filed under the name Homo sapiens (human). The record is from RNAcentral. Lineage: Eukaryota; Metazoa; Chordata; Mammalia; Primates; Hominidae.
GAAUGAAUGAAUGAGGACUGCCUCUGGGA